UUUGUUUUUCGUCGUCAAAUUGUACUUUCGAAAUGGUGAUCAGAUCUCUCUCUAUCUAUCUUUCUUAUAAUUUGUCUAUGGCCCUGUCGGUUAUAUAUAUAUUUGUUUCCUCUUUUAAGGAUGAGUAAUACCUUAAUUUCCGGAGUGUGACAUUUUUAUCUUUAUUUUUCUUUAGUUGUUGUAAUUAUUCUUCCUUUAUUUUUAAAUUCAUAGAAAAAGGAAUGAAAUACAAGCGGUCCAUAAUGCAUAUUCUAAGGGAAGAUCCGAUUUUGGAGCAUGAUGGUCAUAACGUGCGUUCCUUACUGCUUUGCUUGUCCGAAAAAUAUACUACUACUAAGUACUAAAGUACUAAUUUUUUUUUUUUGCUAUUAAAAAAUAAAAUAAAAUAUUAUGCCUAGUUUGUUUUUUUUUCCUUAUUCCUAUAAAUUUUAAUAAAAGAGAAAAUCUAAUAUUUCCAU
Molecule: long non-coding RNA, 458 nt
Filed under: Capsella grandiflora
Lineage: Eukaryota; Viridiplantae; Streptophyta; Magnoliopsida; Brassicales; Brassicaceae
Description: long non-coding RNA (CGRA_LNC001327)
Source: RNAcentral